Seriola dumerili (greater amberjack) is the source of this 82-nucleotide non-coding RNA. Lineage: Eukaryota; Metazoa; Chordata; Actinopteri; Carangiformes; Carangidae. The record is from the annotation of a RefSeq genome assembly.
GUUGUUGUGGCCGAGUGGUUAAGGGGAUGGACUUGAAAUCCAUUGGGGUCUCCCCGCACAGGUUCGAAUCCUGUCAACAACG